This is an RNA transcript of Homo sapiens (human), 2518 nucleotides long. It is a transcript of the gene named DnaJ heat shock protein family (Hsp40) member C25, with no coding region annotated. The record is from RefSeq and is marked validated. The transcript is spliced from 5 exons. Lineage: Eukaryota; Metazoa; Chordata; Mammalia; Primates; Hominidae.
AGACGGGACUAGCCGGGCGCGCGGCUGAGUGCUGCAGAAUCGCUGGGGUGGCAGAGCCGCCAGCGAGGCUGGGGAUGGGGGCGCCGCUGCUCUCUCCCGGCUGGGGAGCCGGGGCUGCCGGCCGGCGCUGGUGGAUGCUGCUGGCGCCCCUGCUGCCGGCGCUGCUGCUGGUGCGGCCCGCGGGGGCCCUGGUGGAGGGGCUCUACUGCGGCACGCGGGACUGCUACGAGGUGCUGGGCGUGAGCCGCUCGGCGGGCAAGGCGGAGAUCGCGCGGGCCUACCGCCAGCUGGCCCGGCGCUACCACCCUGACCGCUACCGGCCCCAGCCCGGAGACGAGGGCCCCGGGCGGACGCCGCAGAGCGCCGAGGAGGCUUUCCUGCUGGUGGCAACCGCCUACGAGACACUCAAGUCCUCCUGCAUAUGCCCAAGAGGAUUGGGAGUGGAAUGGACACCAGCAGAAGCACCACAGUUAUUCCUGUAGAGAUUAGAAACAAGGAGCUUAUUGCCCUGCUUGUCAAGGCUCAGGACAGACAGGAGGAAGAAACAAGUAUAAAGGUUUUGGUUUUGGAAAGAAGUUGGAAUCUCCAGACCCUGGGACCUUAAGAUCCACAAAAUUGCUGAAAGAAAAAGUACUACCUUAUUGAAAGGAUGAAGAAACACGAAAAGAUUAUGAUUACAUGCUGGAUCAUCCAGAAGAGUACUACAGCCAUUACUACCACUACUAUAGCAGGCGCUUGGCCCCUAAGGUGGAUGUUAGAGUAGUGAUUUUGGUCAGCGUGUGUGCUAUUUCGGUGUUUCAGUUUUUCAGCUGGUGGAAUAGCUACAAUAAGGCAAUCAGCUACCUAGCCACAGUGCCCAAGUACCGUAUCCAAGCUACAGAGAUUGCCAAGCAGCAGGGACUGCUCAAAAAAGCCAAAGAAAAAGGCAAAAACAAAAAGUCCAAAGAAGAAAUUCGUGACGAGGAGGAGAACAUCAUAAAGAACAUUAUAAAAAGUAAAAUAGAUAUAAAGGGGGGCUAUCAGAAACCCCAAAUCUGUGAUCUUCUCCUGUUUCAAAUUAUCUUAGCUCCUUUUCACCUAUGCUCAUAUAUAGUUUGGUAUUGUCGGUGGAUCUAUAAUUUUAACAUCAAAGGCAAAGAAUAUGGAGAGGAAGAGAGAUUAUACAUUAUACGUAAAUCUAUGAAGAUGUCAAAGUCUCAAUUUGAUAGUCUAGAAGAUCAUCAGAAAGAAACUUUUCUUAAACGAGAGCUCUGGAUCAAGGAGAAUUAUGAGGUCUACAAGCAAGAACAAGAGGAAGAAUUAAAGAAAAAGUUGGCAAAUGACCCCAGAUGGAAGAGAUACAGGAGAUGGAUGAAGAAUGAAGGGCCUGGGCGGUUAACAUUUGUGGAUGACUGAAGAUUGAUGGAAUGCUACUAUGCCAAACCUUAAUUGUGAUAUUAUUUUCAUAACUGAAUUAUUUUAGAAAUGUAUCAAUUGACUGCUGCUCAGCAGUAACUAAAAUUCCUCAAGUAUUUGAUUAAACAGAAUAAUGUCAAAAUUUAAACCUUCCCUUAAAACUUUAUACAUAAGACAUUUAUGAUUGUUCAAUUUUUAUAAUCUAUUUGUGGAUUUUGUUAAAAGAUUUCACAUGAAGAUUUAUUAGUUGCCAUUUAAAAUUUUUAUAUGUUUAGUUAAAAGAUUUGACAUGAAAAUUUAUUAGAUACCAUUUAAAAAUUUUAUGUGUUAUGUGUUUAUUCUUUGAGAAUGUUACCUUACUGUUUGUAAUAGUGCUACAUUUUUCUGCUUUCAUGGCCUCUGUAUUUUCACAAAACACCAAAAACAGCAUUUAAUUAUAUUAUCAUGAGUGUGUUUCUGGACACAAACUUCUGCAGUAGAAUGACCUAACAUGUCGUUUUCAUUGCAGUCAUUAUAGGAUUGAAAUACGUUCAAAAUAACCUCUCUAGGAAAGUCUUCUGCUAGAAUUUCUCCCCUCUAUUCAUUAUAAUAUUCUUUGUUUUUAAAGCCAGUCAAAUAUAAUAGUCUUAAUAAGAUCAGAAACUCUCCAGGAGAGUGAGUCUACCCUCACGUCCUUGUAGGAUGAUCUUGAUUAUAGUCUUAUUAUAGGACUAUAACUGUAUUCUCAACAUUUCUCCAGAAAGGACCUUGUAAAAAGGUCUUUUGUACCACAGUAUUGGUUUUUUCCCCUCUCUCUUCACUUAAAAAAAAAAAUAGCAAGGCAGAAAUAGUGUAUUGAAAAGUUGUUCAUCUAUUAUGAAGUCCUUGAGUGGUGAAAAAUCCGUUGUACAUGAGAACAUUUCUAUGCAUUUAAGCCAGAAACGAGGUACAUGGCUGUGUGCUCUUCUGUCAACCAAUGAAAUGUGUUUUCACAUGUGUGGCAGUGCAAGUAAAUAACACAUUAUUUGACUGAAUCAGGCAUGAUACUGCACCAAAGUGUUGGUACAUAUUCACGGUAGUAAAUCAGUACCCCUGUUAAAGGAUUUAUCCCAUUGCUUCAUAUUAAUAAAAUGGUUACAAUAUA